GUGAUCCAAUCAGUUGCAACAGGUAGUGGGAUGUGCCGGUUUGUACGGCUUUAAUUAGAUCGUGGGAUCUAAUUAGUUGCAACAGAUCGUAAGAUGUACAUAAGGCGCGGCUUCAUUAGUAGUUAUCAGAGUGACUACGUGAGUAGAUAUAUAUAAUAACUUUACGAGAGGGAUUUAAUGAUCGUCUCUUGAGAAGUAUCAGAUUAUCCAUCUCUCUCUAUUAUCCUUCGUGAAAAUCGGUAAAUCCCACAAAAGGGAACGUAGAUAUCAGAAGACUGCUAGCACCGUCUUUUGUAAUCUCCGACUGAUCUGUUCCGUACGACGGAAGGCGUUGGAUCUGCAUCAAUUCCGUGUGGAUACGCGUAGAGGCCGGGCACGUGCGCGGCUAAUCGGAAUUUCAGUUUCAACCGUACAGUAGAUCAAGAGAUCUUAACUGGUCCGAGGUGAUGUAGCCUAAACUUCAAAUCUGUUUAGGUUAGAUUAUUAUUUUACAUUGUAACAUGAGAAUGAUCCGCCGGCACUGGAUUGAUUUGUUUUUGUUUUGGUUCAUGCGAUUCUUUUGUGCCGGAUAAAUUCUUACACCAAUACCGUGGAGGUCGCUGCGGCGCUGCAGCCUCGGAGCAGGGGGUCCUUAGCGGCAUCGUCGUGAGGACCGUGGACGUUGGCAAAGAGGGGUGACAAAAAAAAAUUAUAGAAGAAGGAAGAAAAAAAAAUAAAGACAAAGAAUUAUAGAAAAAGAAAGAUGAAGAUGAAAUUGAAUCGUUAAAAUAAAAUUGCAUUAUUUUAAAAAAAUAUUGCAGUAUUAUGGACAUAAGUUGUACUACUUAAGAUAUAAACUGCACCAUUUAAGAUAAAAAUUACACUAUUUAAACGAAAAUUGUACUUUUUGGAAGAUAUUUAUAUUUUUUUUUCUCUUAUUAUACUAUUUCAAAUGCAAACUGCAUCAUUUAAGAUGAAAGUUAGACUUUUUAAAAGAAAGUUGCACUCUCUGAUAGCUCCUCUUCUUGCACUCUUUGAGAUAUAAACUGCAUACCUUUAAAGGGUGUAGUUUAAGAGGAGAAAUAGUGUAAUAAGAGGAGAAACAGUGCAACAAGAGGAGAAACAAUGCAACAAAAGGAGAAACAGUAUAAAUAUCUCUUAAAGGGGGCAGUUUACAUCUCAAAGAGUGUAAGAAGAGGAGAAAUAGUGUAGAUAUCUCUCAAAGAGUGCAACUUUCGUUUAAAGAGUGUAACUUUCAUCUUAAAUGAUGCAAUUUAUAUCUGAAAGAGUGCAAUGAGAGGAGAAACAGUGUAAAUAUCUUUCAAAGAGUGCAAUUUUUAUUUAAAGAAUGUAAUUUUUAUCUUAAAAGAUACAGUUUACAUUUUAAGUAGGGCAACUAUGUCUAUAAUAGUGCAACAUUUUUUUAAAACAGUGCAAGUUUAUUUUAAUGGUGCAAUUUCAUCUUCAUUUUUUUUCUAUAAUUUUUUGUCUUUAUUAUUAUUUUUCUUCUUCUAUAAUUUUUUUUGGUCACCCCUCUUUGCCAACGGACACGGCACCGGCGACGACGUCGCUAAGGACCCCCAGCUCCGAGGUUGUUGCGCCGCAGCGACCUCCACGGUAUCAGCGUUGGCGAAGAUGCAUCGUCGUCGGAGGCGGCAGAGGAGGAGGGAGAGGGAGAGGACGAGAAGGGCGGGGAAGGGCGAGAGAGGCAUCGUCAUCGGAGACGGUGGAGGAGAGUUGGAGAGAAAAAAAAAAAGUGUCGCGGCACGGCCUCAGCGAGGUCGGAGGCAAGGAAGAUGGGGGGUGCAUGGGCGAGUAGUGGAUUUUGCAAAAUCUGGUCCGAAUCUGCAAAAUCGAAAAAGGGCCCCAAUUUUGCAAAAGCGCAAAUCUAGUGGAUUUUUUAUGCAAAUUGGCCUUUUUUUUAACUUACAAAUUUUAUUUUAAAGUAAUUGUUAUAUAUCACUUAGCAUGAACAACUCAUAAUAUUUUUUUUUUUUGAGAGAUAGGUAGCAUGCUACUCGUUUCGUUUAUUUUAUUUAGAAAUAAAUUUAGCUAAAAAUGUGAAUCGACUAGAAUUUGAACUCGGGAUCUCGGAUACUAACCUCGAAGCCUUUUGCCACUUGGGCUAGGAAUGGUCGAUGUCUUAUAAAAAUUUUAAACAGAAGUCUUGCAACUAAUAUAUUAAAUUAUAUAGAAUUAAUGUAUUAAAAAAUAUAAUAGGACAAUAACACCAAAUUAAGACUUAGUCGAGAUGAUGGUAUUGAAAAUUUUGAAGGAAAAAAAAAAGCGGAGAAAGUUUGUGACAGUUUUGAACAUAGAGAUUUUGAUUAAAAUAUAGACGCAUGAACGAAUGGGAAAAGAUUUUGAUAUCUUUAUUAAUAAACUUUGUUCGUGUAGAAAAUGAUUUUUUUUAUAAAUCUUUGCAGAUCUUUAAGAUUCCAAAUGUGUCAAAGUUAUAGAGUUUGUUUUAGGAGUUAUAAAAUUAUAAUUUUGUAUUUUGUUUGGAUUUUUCACGCAAAAAGUUUAUUGUUUUAGUGAUAACAAAAAAUUUCAAUUUUUAUUUUUCGUGAGUUGAGCAUUGUGAGUGUUUUUAUAUAAUUUUUAAAUUUUGUCAUGAAAUUGCUAAAGUAAUAAAUUGAUACGAAUUUUAGUGUUGGCUUAUUUCGUGACGAGUUGUGACACGUAGAGUUGAGUCGGAGUCUUGAAGGCCGAAAGAUGAAAAGAUCAAGAUCGAAAACUCAAAGACUGAAAAAAUAAAGCACACGAAUCUAGGUAAAUUUACAUAAAGUUAUUGGUGAUUUAUAUAUAUAUAAUUUAGUAUUUGAAAGCAAUUAAAAAUUGGAUUGACUGAUUUUUAUUCUUUACUAAAGUUUUCCUCGCGUCAAGAUCCGGAUCGUGAAAGGGUGAUAAUCUGUCAUGUACAGAUGAUCCAAACCCUAUGGAGGAUUCGAAUCCCGAACAGCAGAAUUUGCUGUUCCGAUGACAAGAUUCCGAACCCUGUCCAGAAUAUGGAUUUCGAGAGGCAUAAUUUCUAUAAACGCAGCCAGGAUCCGAACCUUGUUUUGGAUCCAGAUCCCAAACCCAAACCUGACGCAGAUUUUUUAAAAUUAGUUUUUCAAUCCUAAUCUAAUUCUAAUUACUUUCAAAACUAUAAAUAAGAUGUAAUGGUGUUUCUAAAAUGUGAAAAAUAAUUACUUUUUAGAUAUCCUAAAAACUUGUGGGUUGCUUCUUCUCUCAUCUUCUACAUCAGGUUUCUCUCAAAUUAAUUUUUAGUGUCCUAAAUUUUGAUAUUCUUCUAAAUUUAAUUUGAGAUUUGUUUAGAAAUAUUUUCUACAGAUUUUUUCAUGAUUCUCAAAGCAAGAAAUCACCAUCAACCCUAUUAUUCGUUUUCCGGACGAAAUGCACUCGUGGAUUCAAGUGGGCAUCGUAGCUUUGACAUGUUGAAGGUUUCGUGAAUUCGAAGUAUAGACGUUUCGUGAACUCAGAAUGUAACGUUCGUGGAUUCGAGUAUAGGCAUGGACUAGCCGUUGGUGUGCGCGAUAUUUAAAAAAGAUAAAAGAGAGAUUUGAGUCCGUGGUGUCUAUAAUCAUCUUAUAAUUUUUUAUUUUUUAGUGGAAUAUUAUCACGUGUUGGUCUCUUGGUUUUUUUACUCUUGGUUGACGUUUUUUCACGUAAAUCUUGAUAUGUUGAUUUUACUUUUUGGAAUUAUUUUUGUUACAUUGAGAUUUGUAUUUUUGGCCUAUAAAUCUAUUUACCUCUCACAAGAUAUUUAAUAGAUUCUAAAUAAAUUCUUGGUUCCCAACUCUAACAAGUUUUUCUAAACUUGCUGUUUGGUAUUGUAAGAUAAUGGACUUCAAUUUAUUUGAAAAAAGUUUGUGGACAAUUGACUCGCAUCCACUUACCAUAAUAUGAGGUCGGAUUCGGCGAGAACCAAAUAUAUAAUUGAUAAUAGAAGAGAAAAAGUAAUCACAUUGAAAUAAUUAUUAUUUUGCCUCAAAUAACAAAACAAAAAAGAAUUUACUUUAACUCUGAUUUUAAACCAAAUAAAAAUUUUUAGCUCGAAAUAAAUUUAACUGAAUUAUUUUCAUUUGAAUAUCAUUGGUUUAUAUUUUUAAUUAGAUGCCUAAGAAAGCGUUAAGUUGGUCAUUUGAUAUUUUAAAAUUUAAAUAUUAUUUUAAUUAAGAAUGGUAACAAAAAGAUAUUCUUGGAAAAUCUGUCCAACCCCAAUAAACUAAUUAAGAGGUUAUUUGGUUGCAUGCAGUUAUAUUUAUAUUGUUAUUUUAAUUACAUAUAAAUCCAAAUUUGAUAUUUGUUUUAAUAAAUUUGAAUACAACUACUGCAGUUAAAACUAUACAAAGAGGCUUAACCAUAGUAAUUGAAACUACACUGUACAAAUUAGUCAUAUUUUUAAUUUCGACAGUAAUUUUAAACAAGAAGUAAGCUACAUUGGGCUUAUCCCACUAUCAUGCCUCCAGUCCUGCCAAUUGGAUCCACUCGAGCACGUGCAACAGACCCGUCAAAUGGGUACUCCUACCCACACGAAACAGAGAAUAUGCCAACCAUUACAUCUAAUACAUAAUAUAUAUUCUCACGUUCCAGAUUAUAGCGGAAGCUCCAGUUACGUCAACACAUGUACAAGAACACAUCUUAUACAUAUGAAACAUCAAUAAAACUUGUCCAAAGAAAGUUACUAAUAUCCAACAACAAUAUGUAUCAGAGUAGAAUGCUGUUAUCAUACCUCAAUAAUGUAAUUGAAAACUAUAAAUAAUGUAUCUCAUGCAUCAAUAGCUGCUGAACAAAAUAAUAUAAUAAUAUCCAAUCAUAAUGAUCGACUCAACAGUCAAGUCUAAAAUUUAAAAUUUAAAUAUAUAUAAUCGAAUGUCCCUAGCCGAAGCGGCAAAAUACUUAGUGGUUGGUACCUGAGGUCUCCAAUUCAAAUCCUAGUUAAUUCACAUUUCUAGCUAAGUUUAUUUUUUUAAAAAAUAAACAUAGCUAGAAAUACCGACCGCCCCUAAAGCAAGUGGCAAAGGGCUUGGUGGUUGGUACCCGAGGCCCAAGUUCGAAUCCUAGUUGAUUCACAUUUCCAGCUAAGUUUAUUUCUAAAUGAAGUAAACGAAGCAGGUAGCGUGCUACCUAUCUCUCAAAAAAAAAAAAAACAAAGCGGGUAGCAUACUAUUUUUCUCUCCAAAAAAAAAAGAAUUGAAUUGAAAUUUCAAAAUUGAAUCUAAAAUAAAGUUAAAAUUUUAAAAUUAUAGUCUCCAAAAUCAAGUAUUUGUGUUAGUGGCAUUAUAUUCAUACGCCACUAAUAAACUACUUAAAAUUUGCAUUUAACAGCCAUUUUAGCGGCAUGUUUCUAAUGACACUAGUUGAUUCACAUUGGCGACAUUGUUAUAAAUGUUGCUAAUACUUUUAGUAAUAUUGAUAUAGACCGCAUUUGGUGUUAGAUGCUUGUCACGUUUGUGCUCUAGCGAAGUCUACCCGGUACGUGCACAAACCCGGUGUGUGCACUAGGCAAUCCCAGUGCACACAAGGCAUACUCAACAAGAAGCACGAUGUGAACAAAAAAUAGUAAAGUUCAAACAUUAUACAUGAGAGAAUCAGAGUAUACAAGAGAUUCUAUGAACAAAGUUAAAUGAAAAAUAUAGACCUUUCACAAGAUAGACAAUAUGUAUCAAUCCAAAAGUACACCUUAUGAACACUAAAACGGUCACUAUACAAAAGUAAACUAAUGCGCCUUUCAAGACAAAAAUCAAAAGAAAGAUGCCGCGGGUCCACCUCUAGCCACUCUUGUAGGCUUUGGCUAGUCGCUAAUCCCUUUCCGUGGCCCCUAACCUGUUCUGCCGUGGAAACCUCUGAAACAAAAGCAAACAAACAAAGGGCAUGAGAAUUAUUAAAAAAUAGUUUUCAGUGGGUAAGACGUCGAGAAGAGCGAAAUACACUACUAGAUUAACUGAGGCAAGAUUAGUUGAUAGUUGAAAUGAAAAGCUAGUAUAUACGAGCUGAAAUAUACUUUCUUCUUCAAGCUCCACUCCAAGUCUUAGGAGCAAGCAUCCAUGGUGGAAAAGAAAAAAAGAAGGAAAAAUCCAAGGGAGAAGGAAGGAAGACCCACCUUCUCUUGUUUCCUUCACCCUCUCCAAAUGAGAGAAGUAGAGGGGGUGAAAUGGGUAUAAACCCAUUUCCACAAAAUCCUAAUAGACCCCUCAACAAUCAAAAACUUGCGCCUCGUGUGAAAUCAACUCUGCACCAUUGAGUACCACCACACGAAUUGGAGUACUACUGGUACCCUCGGUAAUUUCGGUAUCCAGAAGCUCAGUCCCGCAAAACUCGAAUGUUGGAUUUUUUGAUUUCUAUUGCGUUCCAAUACCCGCUUGAAUCAGUACGGUACCACGUGAGUCAGUACCGAUACUCAGUCGAGUUCUGCAAAACUCGAGGGCUUCUCAAAUCCGCGCUCAACUAAGAAUUCAGUAUCGGUACUCAACACAAAAACUGCAAUUUUGUAGAUUUUGAUGUCAAAAUCCGUUCUCGCGCUCUUUAAGCGCCGAAAAUAGGUCUACACUCUCGGAACUUCAACCAAAACUUCCAGAAAAGCUUAAAAUACUAUUCUCACUCUAGAAUUCUGCAAUUUGUUAACGUUCAGUGUGCUACAAUGCUGAUAAAACUUUUAGCGACAUUCAUUGAUCUAUUAGCAACGUAAAUAAAAAUCACUAAUGACUACUUUUCUAGUAGUGACAGUUAUAGUCACAAACUAUCUAUCACUGUCUAUUGAUUAUUAGGGCAAUAUCAUAUAAUACUAAUAGUAAAAAAUAUGAAUGUCUCAAAAUAGGUAGGUGUCAAAAUUUCACUAUUAUCUCAACUAUAUCAACAGCUCAUCUCAUUGGCUAAACAAUAAUAAUAUGGGCAUAGAAGUUAGUCCGCUAAUUUUGACAAUACGGAAUCCACCUAUAUUACAUAUCUAAGAAACAAACGAUAGUCAAGAUAGUAUAACACACUGAACCAUUGCAAAUAGCGAGGUUCGAGUGUUUGAUCUGUAUUCCGAGCUUUACCAGUUAUUCUGGAGGGUCGUAGACAGUAUUCCGGCCUAUGGCUCGUAUCCCGAGAAUUGAGGUUUAAAACUUGUACCAAAAUCCAAAAAGAUGGAUUGUUGGUCCUGCUCUCGGGUCAGCCUCAGCCAGGCUGUGUACCGGUACAACCUUGAUGGUU
RNAcentral lists this long non-coding RNA (7179 nucleotides) under Ananas comosus (pineapple). RNAcentral's name for it is "long non-coding RNA (ACOM_LNC001180)". The record is from RNAcentral. Lineage: Eukaryota; Viridiplantae; Streptophyta; Magnoliopsida; Poales; Bromeliaceae.